ACUACCUACGGGACGCAGCAGUGAGGAAUAUUGGUCAAUGGUCGGGAGACUGAACCAGCCAUGCCGCGUGAGGGAUGAAGGUACAGAGUAUCGUAAACCUCUUUUGUCAGGGAACAAAGGCGGGGACGUGUCCCCGGAUGAGUGUACCUGAAGAAAAAGCAUCGGCUAACUCUGUGCCAGCAGCCGCGGUAAUACGGAGGAUGCGAGCGUUAUCCGGAUUUAUUGGGUUUAAAGGGUGCGCAGGCGGUCUGUUAAGGCAGCGGUCAAAGCCCGGGGCUCAACCCCGGCCCGCCGCGUAAA
This 300-nucleotide ribosomal RNA is filed under the name uncultured bacterium. RNAcentral's name for it is "bacterial SSU rRNA". It matches the Rfam family "Bacterial small subunit ribosomal RNA", at positions 334 to 632 of the family's 1533-position model. The record is from RNAcentral.